UCCGCAGAAACUAGGACAUUGCUCCCUCAGUGUGCUAUCUGCAAGAGCGCUCCUGAAGCUUCCUUAUUACUCAUGUGUUGAUCUCAAUGGACAUUUCAUUUUGCAGCAGACUACCUUAGAACAGAUGAACUAAAACAUCUGGUACUUGUAAUACAUCAGAGGCCUGAAGUUCAAGUUACGUUAUAUUGGAAGGUCUUCUCUGAACUGUCUACUUGAUGAGGGAGCAUGAGGUUGGCUGAAGACAAAGCAAAAGCUGGCGCCUUGCACCCCCCUCUCCAUCCGCUCCCCUCCGUAAUAUGUGUAGCAUU
Molecule: long non-coding RNA, 308 nt
Organism: Neogale vison (American mink)
Lineage: Eukaryota; Metazoa; Chordata; Mammalia; Carnivora; Mustelidae
Exons: 3
Source: RefSeq, a predicted model, not a curated record